This 254-nucleotide ribosomal RNA is filed under the name uncultured bacterium. RNAcentral describes it as "partial 16S ribosomal RNA". It matches the Rfam family "Bacterial small subunit ribosomal RNA", at positions 524 to 777 of the family's 1533-position model. The record is from RNAcentral.
UACGUAGGGUGCAAGCGUUGUCCGGAAUUAUUGGGCGUAAAGAGCUCGUAGGCGGUUUGUCGCGUCGAAUGUGAAAACCCGGGGCUCAACCCCGGGCCUGCAUUCGAUACGGGCAGACUAGAGUUCGGUAGGGGAGUCUGGAAUUCCUGGUGUAGCGGUGAAAUGCGCAGAUAUCAGGAGGAACACCGGUGGCGAAGGCGGGACUCUGGGCCGAUACUGGCGCUGAGGAGCGAAAGCGUGGGGAGCGAACAGGA